AAGCCUGAUGCAGCAUGCCGCGUGUAUGAAGAAGGCUUCGGAUUGUAAAGUACUUUCAGCUAGGAGGAAGGCAUUGUGAUUAAUAACCUCAUUGAUUGACGUUACUCACAGAAUAAGCACCGGCUAACUCCGUGCCAGCAGCCGCGGUAAA
RNAcentral lists this ribosomal RNA (151 nucleotides) under Hafnia alvei. RNAcentral's name for it is "partial 16S ribosomal RNA". It matches the Rfam family "Bacterial small subunit ribosomal RNA", at positions 379 to 524 of the family's 1533-position model. The record is from RNAcentral. Lineage: Bacteria; Pseudomonadati; Pseudomonadota; Gammaproteobacteria; Enterobacterales; Hafniaceae.